Molecule: long non-coding RNA, 808 nt
Filed under: Salmo salar (Atlantic salmon)
Lineage: Eukaryota; Metazoa; Chordata; Actinopteri; Salmoniformes; Salmonidae
Description: lncRNA (ENSSSAG00000094292.1)
Source: RNAcentral
GAGAGAGGAAGGGCGGGUGAGAGAGAGAGAGAGAUAUAUAUAAACACUAACAGCUUACAUUACACUCCUCACAUUCACCCAGCCUGAGGUGAGACAUGGGAGGUUUCCACAGAACCUGGCUGUGAAUCAAACUAGGGAGUAGGCUGUGAAUCAAACUAGGGAGUGGGCUGUGAAUCAAACUAGGGAGUAGGCUGUGAAUCAAACUAGGGAGUGGGCUGUGAAUCAAACUAGGGAGUGGGCUGGGAAUCAAACUAUGGAGUGGGCUGUGAAUCAAACUAUGGAUUGGGCUGUGAAUCAAACUAGGGAGUGGGCUGGGAAUCAAACUAUGGAGUGGGCUGUGAAUCAAACUAGGGAGUAGGCUGUGAAUCAAACUAGGGAGUGGGCUGUGAAUCAAACUAGGGAGUGGGCUGUGAAUCAAACUAGGGAGUGGGCUGGGAAUCAAACUAUGGAGUGGGCUGUGAAUCAAACUAGGGAUUGGGCUGUGAAUCAAACGAGGGAGUAGGCUGGGAAUCAAACUAUGGAGUGGGCUGUGAAUCAAACUAGGGAGUAGGCUGUGAAUCAAACUAGGGAGUAGGCUGUGAAUCAAACUAGGGAGUAGGCUGUGAAUCAAACUAGGGAGUAGGCUGUGAAUCAAACUAGGGAGUGGGCUGUGAAUCAAACUAGGGAGUAGGCUGUGAAUCAAACUAGGGAGUAGGCUGUGAAUCAAACUAGGGAGUUGGCUUUGAAUCAAACUAUGGAGUGGGCUGUGAAUCAAACGAGGGAGUAGGCGGUGCCAGUUUGCCACUCUCCCUCCUAAAUCUAACCCGAG